RNAcentral lists this ribosomal RNA (1025 nucleotides) under uncultured bacterium. RNAcentral describes it as "bacterial SSU rRNA". It matches the Rfam family "Bacterial small subunit ribosomal RNA", at positions 8 to 1065 of the family's 1533-position model. The record is from RNAcentral.
AGAGUUUGAUCCUGGCUCAGAAGGAACGCUGGCAGCGUGCAUAACACAUGCAAGUCGAACGGGAUUAUUAUCUUCGGAUGAUAUGAGAGUGGCGAACGGGUGAGUAACACGUAAGAAUCUACCUUUAGGACGGGGAUAACUUCUGGAAACGGAUGCUAAUACCCGAUAUGCUGUGGAGUGAAAGGAAUUUCGCCUAAAGAUGAUCUUGCGUCUGAUUAGCUAGAUAGUGUGGUAAUGGCGCACUAUGGUGACGAUCAGUAGCUGGUCUGAGAGGAUGGACAGCCACAUUGGAACUGAGACACGGUCCAAACUCCUACGGGAGGCAGCAGUGGGGAAUUUUCCGCAAUGGGCGAAAGCCUGACGGAGCGACGCUGCGUGAAGGAUGACGGCCUGCGGGUUGUAAACUUCUUUUCUCGAAGAAGAAUAAAUGACGGUAUUCGAGGAAUAAGCAUCGGCUAACUCUGUGCCAGCAGCCGCGGUAAGACAGAGGAUGCAAGUGUUAUUCGGAUUGAUUGGGCGUAAAGCGUCUGUAGGCGGUUUGGAAAGUCUUUUGUGAAAUUCUUCAGCUCAACUGGGGGUCCGCAAAAGAAACUUCUAGGCUUGAGGGAAGUAGAGGUACAGGGAAUUUCCGGUGGAGCGGUGAAAUGCGUAGAUAUCGGAAGGAACACCAAUAUGGCGAAAGCACUGUACUGGGCUUUACCUGACGCUAAGAGACGAAAGCUAAAGGAGUGAUUAGGAUUAGAUACCCUAGUAAUUUUAGCCGUAAACGAUGGAAACUCACUGCCGAGCCGGUAUUCGGAGCGGUGGUCAAGCUAACGCGUGAAGUUUCCCGCCUGGGGACUACGCAUGCAAAUGUGAAACUCAAAGGAAUUGACGGGGACCCGCACAAGCGGUGGAGUAUGUGGUUUAAUUCGAUGCAACGCGAAAAACCUUACCAAGGUUUGAAAUCAUUUCAAAACUCUUUGAAAGAAGAGCCUCCUUCGGGAUGGAAUGACAGGUGGUGCAUGGCUGUCGUCAGCUCGUGU